GGAGGAAAGUAGGGGAUCGAAAGACCUUGCGCUUUUGGAGCGGCCGAUGUCUGAUUAGCUAGUUGGUGAGGUAAAUGCUUACCAAGGCAACGAUCAGUAGUUGGUCUGAGAGGAUGACCAACCACACUGGGACUGAGACACGGCCCAGACUCCUACGGGAGGCAGCAGUGGGGAAUUUUGGACAAUGGGGGAAACCCUGAUCCAGCAAUGCCGCGUGAGUGAAGAAGGCCUUCGGGUUGUAAAGCUCUUUCAGUUGAGAAGAAAAGAUUGUGACUAAUAAUCAUAAUUAAUGACGGUAUCAACAGAAGAAGCACCGGCUAACUACGUGCCAGCAGCCGCGGUAAUACGUAGGGUGCGAGCGUUAAUCGGAAUUACUGGGCGUAAAGGGUGCGCAGGCGGUUAUGUAAGUCAGAUGUGAAAUCCCCGGGCUUAACCUGGGAAUUGCGUUUGAAACUACAAAGCUAGAAGGGCGAAUUUGGUUUAAC
RNAcentral lists this ribosomal RNA (485 nucleotides) under uncultured bacterium. RNAcentral describes it as "bacterial SSU rRNA". It matches the Rfam family "Bacterial small subunit ribosomal RNA", at positions 198 to 667 of the family's 1533-position model. The record is from RNAcentral.